UAUGGGAGGAAGGUUUGAUGCUUAUCCUUGUGGUAUGAAAGAGUACUACGAUAAACUCAUGCAAGAUUAUCAAGAACAACUCAAGGACGCUAAAGAGCGAUAUUACAUGCAACUGACUUCCUUCUUGGAAGUCGAUAACUCAUUCUUUUCAAAAUGGCAUGGGGACCUUAGUGCCGAUGAUAAGGCUAAAGAAGGACAACGACGCAUGGAUUUUCAGACUGGUUCAUUUUUCAGUCAUGAAGUUUUCGAUGUGAAGUCUGAAGAUUCAAAAGAAACCUCAAAGCCCUAGAAGAGAUUGGCACCCAUUGGAUUACCAAGGACAAAAUCUUGCUUUAAAGUCGACAUGUCUUUCUGUUGGGAUCGUUUCGCAUUGUUCUAGUACAAUAUGUAUGGUUGGUUUGAAUAUGGACUAAGUUUCUUUUCUUCUUAUUUGAUAGUAAUUUUCCCCGUUUGGGCACAAAAGAAGAAAAGAAAUUAAUCACUACCAUAUAUAUUUUCUUUCAGUUAUUGUAUUUUGAAUUAUCAGACUUAGUUCAAGAACUUCAUGUUUCCU
Long non-coding RNA from Quercus lobata, 553 nucleotides. RefSeq lists it as uncharacterized. The record is from RefSeq and is a predicted model, not a curated record. The transcript has 2 exons. NCBI's taxonomy places the organism in Eukaryota, Viridiplantae, Streptophyta, Magnoliopsida, Fagales, Fagaceae.